UCGAGCGAGUUUAGACUCGCGGCGAAUAGCUCAGUAACACGUGGCCAAGCUCCCCUUCAGUCAGCGAUACCCUCGGGAAACUGAGGUUAACAGCUGAUACAAAACGCCAGCUGGAAUGCGGCGUUUCAGAAAGACAUCGCUGAAGGAUGCGGCUGCGGCCGAUAGGUAGACGGUGGGGUAACGGCUCACCGUGCCAGUAAUCGGUACGGGUGAUGAGAGUCAGAGCCCGGAGACGGAAUCUGAGACAAGAUUCCGGGCCCUACGGGGCGCAGCAGGCGCGAAACCUUUACACUGCACAGAAGUGCGAUAGGGGAAUCCCAAGUGCGAGGGCAUAUUAGCCCUCGCUUUUCUCGACUGUAAGGUGGUCGACGAAUAAGAGCUGGGCAAGACCGGUGCCAGCCGCCGCGGUAAUACCGGCAGCUCAAGUGAUGUCCCAUGUUAUUGGGCCUAAAGCGUCCGUAGCUGGCCGACCAAGUCUACCGGGAAAUCCACCCGCCCAACGGGUGGGCGUCCGGUAGAAACUGGCCGGCUUGGAACCGGAAGGCUCAGAGAGUACGUCCGGGGUAGGAGUGAAAUCCUGUAAUCCCGGACGGACUACCGAUGG
This 604-nucleotide ribosomal RNA is filed under the name uncultured archaeon. Its description in RNAcentral is "bacterial SSU rRNA". It matches the Rfam family "Archaeal small subunit ribosomal RNA", at positions 58 to 666 of the family's 1478-position model. The record is from RNAcentral.